Molecule: transfer RNA, 65 nt
Filed under: Strongylocotes lipogonus
Lineage: Eukaryota; Metazoa; Arthropoda; Insecta; Psocodea; Heptapsogasteridae
Description: tRNA-Asp
Source: RNAcentral
UGAGGUUUAUUUUAACAAAAUACUUGAUUGUCUGUCAGGAGAUACUCACAGCAGGGUAACCUCAA